GAGGACCUACGGGGCGUAGCAGUAGGGAAUCUUCCACAAUGGACGAAAGUCUGAUGGAGCAACGCCGCGUGAGUGAAGAAGGGUUUCGGCUCGUAAAGCUCUGUUGGUAGUGAAGAAAGAUAGAGGUAGUAACUGGCCUUUAUUUGACGGUAAUUACUUAGAAAGUCACGGCUAACUACGUGCCAGCAGCCGCGGUAAUACGUAGGUGGCAAGCGUUGUCCGGCUUUAUUGG
This 232-nucleotide ribosomal RNA is filed under the name uncultured bacterium. Its description in RNAcentral is "partial 16S ribosomal RNA". It matches the Rfam family "Bacterial small subunit ribosomal RNA", at positions 333 to 557 of the family's 1533-position model. The record is from RNAcentral.